AAAGGAAUUGACGGGGACCCGCACAAGCAGCGGAGCAUGUGGUUUAAUUCGAAGCAACGCGAAGAACCUUACCAGCCCUUGACAUACUUUGAAGAUUCUAGAGAUAGAAUUGUUCCCUUCGGGGACAGAGAUACAGGUGGUGCAUGGUUGUCGUCAGCUCGUGUCGUGAGAUGUUGGGUUAAGUCCCGCAACGAGCGCAACCCCUGUUAAUAGUUGCCAUCAUUUAGUUGGGCACUCUAUUGAGACUGCCGUAGACAAUACGGAGGAAGGUGGGGACGACGUCAAAUCAUCAUGCCCCUUAUGGGCUGGGCUACACACGUGCUACAAUGGUCUGGAACAGAGGGAAGCGAAGCCGCGAGGUGAAGCCAAUCCCAGAAACCAGAUCCCAGUUCGGAUUGCAGGCUGAAACUCGCCUGCAUGAAGUUGGAGUUGCUAGUAAUCGCAGAUCAGAAUGCUGCGGUGAAUGCGUUCCCGGGUCUUGUACACACCGCCCGU
This 495-nucleotide ribosomal RNA is filed under the name uncultured bacterium. RNAcentral describes it as "bacterial SSU rRNA". It matches the Rfam family "Bacterial small subunit ribosomal RNA", at positions 903 to 1397 of the family's 1533-position model. The record is from RNAcentral.